AGCAGCCGCGGUAAUUCCAGCUCCAAUAGCGUAUAUUAAAGUUGUUGCAGUUAAAAAGCUCGUAGUUGAAUUUCGGGAUCAAUAUAUCGGUCGUGCCUUGGUACGUACUGGUAUCAUUGGUUUCUCCUUUCUGACGAACCAUGAUGUCAUUAAUUUGGUGUUAUGGGAAGUUAGGACUGUUACUUUGAAAAAAUUAGAGUGUUUAAAGCAGGCUUUAGCUUGAAUACAUUAGCAUGGAAUAAUGAAAUAGGACGUUCGAACCUAUUUUGUUGGUUUCUAGGAUCAACGUAAUGAUUAAUAGGGAUAGUUGGGGGCAUUAGUAUUCAAUUGUCAGAGGUGAAAUUCUUGGAUUUAUUGAAGACUAACUACUGCGAAAGUAUUUGCCAAGGAUGUUUUCAUUAAUCAAGAACGAAAGUUAGGGGAUCGAAGACGAUCAGAUACCGUCGUAGUCUUAACCAUAAACUAUGCCGACUAGGGAUCGGAUGAUGUUAAUUUUUAAUGACUCAUUCGGCGCCUUACG
RNAcentral lists this ribosomal RNA (520 nucleotides) under uncultured Glomus. RNAcentral describes it as "SSU rRNA". It matches the Rfam family "Eukaryotic small subunit ribosomal RNA", at positions 569 to 1092 of the family's 1831-position model. Lineage: Eukaryota; Fungi; Glomeromycota; Glomeromycetes; Glomerales; Glomeraceae. The record is from RNAcentral.